UACAGAGGUCUCAAGCGUUGUUCGGAUUCAUUGGGCGUAAAGGGUGCGUAGGCGGCGCGGUAAGUCGGGUGUGAAAUCUCGGAGCUUAACUCCGAAACUGCAUUCGAUACUGCCGUGCUUGAGGACUGGAGAGGAGACUGGAAUUCCCGGUGUAGCGGUGAAAUGCGUAGAUAUCGGGAGGAACAUCAGUGGCGAAGGCGGCCUUCUGGUCCAGUACUGACACUCAAGUGCGAAAGCGUGGGGAGCAAACAGG
RNAcentral lists this ribosomal RNA (253 nucleotides) under uncultured bacterium. Its description in RNAcentral is "partial 16S ribosomal RNA". It matches the Rfam family "Bacterial small subunit ribosomal RNA", at positions 524 to 776 of the family's 1533-position model. The record is from RNAcentral.